Molecule: ribosomal RNA, 495 nt
Filed under: uncultured bacterium
Lineage: Bacteria
Description: partial 16S ribosomal RNA
Rfam family: Bacterial small subunit ribosomal RNA
Source: RNAcentral
GACGAACGCUGGCGGCGUGCCUAAUACAUGCAAGUAGAACGCUGAAGGAGGAGCUUGCUUCUCUGGAUGAGUUGCGAACGGGUGAGUAACGCGUAGGUAACCUGCCUGGUAGCGGGGGAUAACUAUUGGAAACGAUAGCUAAUACCGCAUAAGAGUAGAUGUUGCAUGACAUUUACUUAAAAGGUGCAAUUGCAUCACUACCAGAUGGACCUGCGUUGUAUUAGCUAGUUGGUGAGGUAACGGCUCACCAAGGCAACGAUACAUAGCCGACCUGAGAGGGUGAUCGGCCACACUGGGACUGAGACACGGCCCAGACUCCUACGGGAGGCAGCAGUAGGGAAUCUUCGGCAAUGGACGGAAGUCUGACCGAGCAACGCCGCGUGAGUGAAGAAGGGUUUCGGAUCGUAAAGCUCGGUUGUAAGAGAAGAACGAGUGUGAGAGUGGAAAGUUCACACUGUGACGGUAUCUUACCAGAAAGGGACGGCUAACUACGUG